This is a non-coding RNA of Populus trichocarpa (black cottonwood), 191 nucleotides long. Lineage: Eukaryota; Viridiplantae; Streptophyta; Magnoliopsida; Malpighiales; Salicaceae. The record is from Rfam.
ACUCUAGUCCGACUUUGUGAAAUGACUUGAGAGGCGUAGGAUAAGUGGGAGCUUCGGCGAAGGUGAAAUACCACUACUUUUAACGUUAUUUUACUUAUUCCGUGAAUCGGAGGCGGGGCGCUGCCCUUCUUUUUGGACCCAAGGCCGCUUCGGCGGCCGAUCCGGGCGGAAGACAUUGUCAGGUGGGGAGU